RNAcentral lists this ribosomal RNA (1546 nucleotides) under Mixta tenebrionis. RNAcentral describes it as "bacterial SSU rRNA". It matches the Rfam family "Bacterial small subunit ribosomal RNA". Lineage: Bacteria; Pseudomonadati; Pseudomonadota; Gammaproteobacteria; Enterobacterales; Erwiniaceae. The record is from RNAcentral.
UUAAUUGAAGAGUUUGAUCAUGGCUCAGAUUGAACGCUGGCGGCAGGCCUAACACAUGCAAGUCGAACGGUAACAGGAAGCAGCUUGCUGCUUCGCUGACGAGUGGCGGACGGGUGAGUAACGUCUGGGAAACUGCCCGAUGGAGGGGGAUAACUACUGGAAACGGUGGCUAAUACCGCAUAACGUCUUCGGACCAAAGUGGGGGACCUUCGGGCCUCACACCAUCGGAUGUGCCCAGAUGGGAUUAGCUUGUUGGUGGGGUAACGGCUCACCAAGGCGACGAUCCCUAGCUGGUCUGAGAGGAUGACCAGCCACACUGGAACUGAGACACGGUCCAGACUCCUACGGGAGGCAGCAGUGGGGAAUAUUGCACAAUGGGCGCAAGCCUGAUGCAGCCAUGCCGCGUGUAUGAAGAAGGCCUUCGGGUUGUAAAGUACUUUCAGCGGGGAGGAAGGGGUUGCGGUUAAUAACCGCGGCCAUUGACGUUACCCGCAGAAGAAGCACCGGCUAACUCCGUGCCAGCAGCCGCGGUAAUACGGAGGGUGCAAGCGUUAAUCGGAAUUACUGGGCGUAAAGCGCACGCAGGCGGUCUGUCAAGUCGGAUGUGAAAUCCCCGGGCUCAACCCGGGAACUGCAUCCGAAACUGGCAGGCUUGAGUCUCGUAGAGGGGGGUAGAAUUCCAGGUGUAGCGGUGAAAUGCGUAGAGAUCUGGAGGAAUACCGGUGGCGAAGGCGGCCCCCUGGACGAAGACUGACGCUCAGGUGCGAAAGCGUGGGGAGCAAACAGGAUUAGAUACCCUGGUAGUCCACGCCGUAAACGAUGUCGACUUGGAGGCUGUUCCCUUGAGGAGUGGCUUCCGGAGCUAACGCGUUAAGUCGACCGCCUGGGGAGUACGGCCGCAAGGUUAAAACUCAAAUGAAUUGACGGGGGCCCGCACAAGCGGUGGAGCAUGUGGUUUAAUUCGAUGCAACGCGAAGAACCUUACCUGGUCUUGACAUCCACGGAAGACUGCAGAGAUGCGGUUGUGCCUUCGGGAACCGUGAGACAGGUGCUGCAUGGCUGUCGUCAGCUCGUGUUGUGAAAUGUUGGGUUAAGUCCCGCAACGAGCGCAACCCUUAUCCUUUGUUGCCAGCGCGUGAUGGCGGGAACUCAAAGGAGACUGCCGGUGAUAAACCGGAGGAAGGUGGGGAUGACGUCAAGUCAUCAUGGCCCUUACGACCAGGGCUACACACGUGCUACAAUGGCGCAUACAAAGAGAAGCGACCUCGCGAGAGCAAGCGGACCUCACAAAGUGCGUCGUAGUCCGGAUCGGAGUCUGCAACUCGACUCCGUGAAGUCGGAAUCGCUAGUAAUCGUGGAUCAGAAUGCCACGGUGAAUACGUUCCCGGGCCUUGUACACACCGCCCGUCACACCAUGGGAGUGGGUUGCAAAAGAAGUAGGUAGCUUAACCUUCGGGAGGGCGCUUACCACUUUGUGAUUCAUGACUGGGGUGAAGUCGUAACAAGGUAACCGUAGGGGAACCUGCGGUUGGAUCACCUCCUUACC